RNAcentral lists this ribosomal RNA (2899 nucleotides) under Shigella flexneri. RNAcentral describes it as "23S ribosomal RNA". It matches the Rfam family "Bacterial large subunit ribosomal RNA". The record is from RNAcentral. Lineage: Bacteria; Pseudomonadati; Pseudomonadota; Gammaproteobacteria; Enterobacterales; Enterobacteriaceae.
GGUUAAGCGACUAAGCGUACACGGUGGAUGCCCUGGCAGUCAGAGGCGAUGAAGGACGUGCUAAUCUGCGAUAAGCGUCGGUAAGGUGAUAUGAACCGUUAUAACCGGCGAUUUCCGAAUGGGGAAACCCAGUGUGAUUCGUCACACUAUCAUUAACUGAAUCCAUAGGUUAAUGAGGCGAACCGGGGGAACUGAAACAUCUAAGUACCCCGAGGAAAAGAAAUCAACCGAGAUUCCCCCAGUAGCGGCGAGCGAACGGGGAGCAGCCCAGAGCCUGAAUCAGUGUGUGUGUUAGUGAAAGCGUCUGGAAAGGCGUGCGAUACAGGGUGACAGCCCCGUACACAAAAAUGCACAUACUGUGAGCUCGAUGAGUAGGGCGGGACACGUGGUAUCCUGUCUGAAUAUGGGGGACCAUCCUCCAAGGCUAAAUACUCCUGACUGACCGAUAGUGAACCAGUACCGUGAGGGAAAGGCGAAAAGAACCCCGGCGAGGGGAGUGAAAAAGAACCUGAAACCGUGUACGUACAAGCAGUGGGAGCACGCUUAGGCGUGUGACUGCGUACCUUUGUAUAAUGGGUCAGCGACUUAUAUUCUGUAGCAAGGUUAACCGAAUAGGGGAGCCGAAGGGAAACCGAGUCUUAACUGGGCGUUAAGUUGCAGGGUAUAGACCCGAAACCCGGUGAUCUAGCCAUGGGCAGGUUGAAGGUUGGGUAACACUAACUGGAGGACCGAACCGACUAAUGUUGAAAAAUUAGCGGAUGACUUGUGGCUGGGGGUGAAAGGCCAAUCAAACCGGGAGAUAGCUGGUUCUCCCCGAAAGCUAUUUAGGUAGCGCCUCGUGAAUUCAUCUCCGGGGUAGAGCACUGUUUCGGCAAGGGGGUCAUCCCGACUUACCAACCCGAUGCAAACUGCGAAUACCGGAGAAUGUUAUCACGGGAGACACACGGCGGGUGCUAACGUCCGUCGUGAAGAGGGAAACAACCCAGACCGCCAGCUAAGGUCCCAAAGUCAUGGUUAAGUGGGAAACGAUGUGGGAAGGCCCAGACAGCCAGGAUGUUGGCUUAGAAGCAGCCAUCAUUUAAAGAAAGCGUAAUAGCUCACUGGUCGAGUCGGCCUGCGCGGAAGAUGUAACGGGGCUAAACCAUGCACCGAAGCUGCGGCAGCGACGCUUAUGCGUUGUUGGGUAGGGGAGCGUUCUGUAAGCCUGUGAAGGUGUGCUGUGAGGUAUGCUGGAGGUAUCAGAAGUGCGAAUGCUGACAUAAGUAACGAUAAAGCGGGUGAAAAGCCCGCUCGCCGGAAGACCAAGGGUUCCUGUCCAACGUUAAUCGGGGCAGGGUGAGUCGACCCCUAAGGCGAGGCCGAAAGGCGUAGUCGAUGGGAAACAGGUUAAUAUUCCUGUACUUGGUGUUACUGCGAAGGGGGACGGAGAAGGCUAUGUUGGCCGGGCGACGGUUGUCCCGGUUUAAGCGUGUAGGCUGGUUUUCCAGGCAAAUCCGGAAAAUCAAGGCCGAGGCGUGAUGACGAGGCACUACGGUGCUGAAGCAACAAAUGCCCUGCUUCCAGGAAAAGCCUCUAAGCAUCAGGUAACAUCAAAUCGUACCCCAAACCGACACAGGUGGUCAGGUAGAGAAUACCAAGGCGCUUGAGAGAACUCGGGUGAAGGAACUAGGCAAAAUGGUGCCGUAACUUCGGGAGAAGGCACGCUGAUACGUAGGUGAAGCGACUUGCUCGUGGAGCUGAAAUCAGUCGAAGAUACCAGCUGGCUGCAACUGUUUAUUAAAAACACAGCACUGUGCAAACACGAAAGUGGACGUAUACGGUGUGACGCCUGCCCGGUGCCGGAAGGUUAAUUGAUGGGGUUAGCGCAAGCGAAGCUCUUGAUCGAAGCCCCGGUAAACGGCGGCCGUAACUAUAACGGUCCUAAGGUAGCGAAAUUCCUUGUCGGGUAAGUUCCGACCUGCACGAAUGGCGUAAUGAUGGCCAGGCUGUCUCCACCCGAGACUCAGUGAAAUUGAACUCGCUGUGAAGAUGCAGUGUACCCGCGGCAAGACGGAAAGACCCCGUGAACCUUUACUAUAGCUUGACACUGAACAUUGAGCCUUGAUGUGUAGGAUAGGUGGGAGGCUUUGAAGUGUGGACGCCAGUCUGCAUGGAGCCGACCUUGAAAUACCACCCUUUAAUGUUUGAUGUUCUAACGUGGACCCGUGAUCCGGGUUGCGGACAGUGUCUGGUGGGUAGUUUGACUGGGGCGGUCUCCUCCUAAAGAGUAACGGAGGAGCACGAAGGUUGGCUAAUCCUGGUCGGACAUCAGGAGGUUAGUGCAAUGGCAUAAGCCAGCUUGACUGCGAGCGUGACGGCGCGAGCAGGUGCGAAAGCAGGUCAUAGUGAUCCGGUGGUUCUGAAUGGAAGGGCCAUCGCUCAACGGAUAAAAGGUACUCCGGGGAUAACAGGCUGAUACCGCCCAAGAGUUCAUAUCGACGGCGGUGUUUGGCACCUCGAUGUCGGCUCAUCACAUCCUGGGGCUGAAGUAGGUCCCAAGGGUAUGGCUGUUCGCCAUUUAAAGUGGUACGCGAGCUGGGUUUAGAACGUCGUGAGACAGUUCGGUCCCUAUCUGCCGUGGGCGCUGGAGAACUGAGGGGGCUGCUCCUAGUACGAGAGGACCGGAGUGGACGCAUCACUGGUGUUCGGGUUGUCAUGCCAAUGGCACUGCCCGGUAGCUAAAUGCGGAAGAGAUAAGUGCUGAAAGCAUCUAAGCACGAAACUUGCCCCGAGAUGAGUUCUCCCUGACCCUUUAAGGGUCCUGAAGGAACGUUGAAGACGACGACGUUGAUAGGCCGGGUGUGUAAGCGCAGCGAUGCGUUGAGCUAACCGGUACUAAUGAACCGUGAGGCUUAACCUU